GACAGAGGGUGCAAACGUUGUUCGGAAUUACUGGGCAUAAAGCGCACGUAGGUGGUCCGCUAAGUCGCGUGUGAAAUCCCCCGGCUCAACCGGGGAAAUGCGCGUGAUACUGGCGGGCUUGAGAUCGGGAGGGGUGAAUGGAACUCCAGGUGGAGCGGUGAAAUGCGUAGAUAUCUGGAGGAACACCGGUGGCGAAAGCGGUUCACUGGCCCGACACUGACACUGAGGUGCGAGAGCUAGGGUAGCAAACGGG
RNAcentral lists this ribosomal RNA (253 nucleotides) under uncultured bacterium. RNAcentral's name for it is "partial 16S ribosomal RNA". It matches the Rfam family "Bacterial small subunit ribosomal RNA", at positions 524 to 776 of the family's 1533-position model. The record is from RNAcentral.